Etheostoma spectabile (orangethroat darter) is the source of this 92-nucleotide long non-coding RNA. RefSeq lists it as uncharacterized. Lineage: Eukaryota; Metazoa; Chordata; Actinopteri; Perciformes; Percidae. The transcript is spliced from 2 exons. The record is from RefSeq and is a predicted model, not a curated record.
CUUAAUGACAAGUCCAAAUGGUUCCACUUUAGUUGAGGCCGAGGAAAAAUAUUCAUGACACAAUUAUAAUGCUCUCAUGACAGCCAAUGUAA